CAAUAGCGUAUAUUAAAGUUGUUGCAGUUAAAAAGCUCGUAGUUGGACCUUGGACCUGGACAGGCGGUCCGCCUCACGGCGAGUACUGUCUUGCUGGUCUUUCCUCUUGGUGAUCUGUUGUUUCGGCAGCAGGGAACCAGGACCUUUACUUUGAAAAAAUUAGAGUGUUCAAAGCAGGCUCGACGCCGGAAUAUAUUAGCAUGGAAUAAUAAAAUAGGACGUGCGGUUCUAUUUUGUUGGUUUUUGGAAUCGCCGUAAUGAUUAAUAGGGACAGUCGGGGGCAUUAGUACUCACAUGCUAGAGGUGAAAUUCUUGGAUUUUGUGAAGACUAACUUCUGCGAAANCANNNGCCAAGGAUGUUUUCAUNAA
RNAcentral lists this ribosomal RNA (369 nucleotides) under uncultured eukaryote. RNAcentral describes it as "partial 18S ribosomal RNA". It matches the Rfam family "Eukaryotic small subunit ribosomal RNA", at positions 592 to 976 of the family's 1831-position model. The record is from RNAcentral.